RNAcentral lists this unclassified non-coding RNA (613 nucleotides) under Hevea brasiliensis (rubber tree). Lineage: Eukaryota; Viridiplantae; Streptophyta; Magnoliopsida; Malpighiales; Euphorbiaceae. The record is from RNAcentral.
UGCUCUGCAAAAUUUCCACAGGCAAGUUUAUUAUUAUUAUUUGAUCAACUAACAUCCAUACUGGACUCUCUUUGCAUUGUAUUAUUUGAAAUAUGCAAUCAGAGGUUCAAACCUCUGAUUUCCUCCCUCUCUCAAGCCAAAAUAAUAAAAGAUAAAAAAAAACCUACCAUGUCAUUAGCAUCUCUCCCGCUUUCUCUUUGGGGAGGGGCUUAUGAUGUGCAUGUCACGGGUAAUUUGUAGAUCCAUGAUUUCUUUUGCACUUGACAAUAAAUUUACACUGUUUGCUCACUAGCCAAGUAUUUCUGUUCUUCUUUUUGUGCUUCACCUGUGAAUUCCUUUAAUUUAAUUGUAGUUGAGGGAAGAGAAGAGAGAGGGGGUGGGGUACCAAACCUAGUUACUUGGACCAUUUAACGGGGUUGUUUGAUGUCUGUUUCACUUUUGACCACUCACUCCUUUUUGUCUUUCAAACUUUGAGUUUUAAUGGGAUUUGUGAAGCUAAAGUUUAAACCUGUCUACUACAAUAUGCAUUUGCUUGCUGCUGUAGAAAUUUAGCUUCUCAGGUAAUCUUUACUGAACGCACUAAUUUGCUGAUCUGGCAGGCGUGGACUGAGGC